UACGUAGGGGGCUAGCGUUGUCCGGAAUCAUUGGGCGUAAAGAGCGUGUAGGCGGCCCGGUAAGUCCGCUGUGAAAGUCAAAGGCUCAACCUUUGAAUGUCAGCGGAUACUGCCGGGCUAGAGUCCGGAAGAGGCGAGUGGAACUCCUGGUGUAGCGGUGGAAUGCGCAGAUAUCAGGAAGAACACCAACGGCGAAGGCAGCUCGCUGGGACGGUACUGACGCUGAGGAGCGAAAGCGUGGGGAGCGAACAGG
RNAcentral lists this ribosomal RNA (253 nucleotides) under uncultured bacterium. RNAcentral's name for it is "partial 16S ribosomal RNA". It matches the Rfam family "Bacterial small subunit ribosomal RNA", at positions 524 to 776 of the family's 1533-position model. The record is from RNAcentral.